RNAcentral lists this unclassified non-coding RNA (3103 nucleotides) under Penaeus monodon (black tiger shrimp). Its description in RNAcentral is "arginine and glutamate-rich protein 1-like, transcript variant X3". The record is from RNAcentral. Lineage: Eukaryota; Metazoa; Arthropoda; Malacostraca; Decapoda; Penaeidae.
CGAAAACCAUAGGUUGUUUAGCAGCAAAUGGCGAACCCGAGAUAACAUUACCUACGGCAACCUCUCGAAAUCCGCUCUCGUUCGGCUCACGCAUCUUCUCUAGCACUCCCCUCCACGCCAGCACCCGCGAGAGAUCCCCCUCGGCGGCGAUGGGCAGGUCGAGAUCGAGGAGCAGAUCGCCCAAGAGGCACAAGAGCAAGAGAUCCCACAAGAGACGUUCUCGCUCGAGGGACAGGGAGAGGCGGAGGCACAGGGACCGAGAGCGAUCCAAGGAGCGGGCGGCCAAGGCGAGUCGCAAACCAUCAAGAUCAUCAUCUUCAUCAUCAAGCAGUGAUGAAGAACCUAGAACGAGAGAGAAAAAGAUUGAUGAGGUGGACAGAUUGGCUGAAUUGGAGAGAGUUAGGAGACAGAGGGAGGCUGAACAAAAAAUGGUUGAAGAAGUAGCAGCCAAAAGGUUGGAGGAGUUAGUAGCUCGGAGAGUAGAGGAGGAGCUAGAACGAAGGAGGGAUGAGAUAGAAGCUGAAGUUUUAAGGAGAGUAGAGGAGGCCAAGCGCCUCAUGGAACAACAGAUGCUCGAAGAGCUUCAGGAAAAGCGCCGGCAGCAGGAGGAGGAUCAAAAGAAGCGAGAGGUAGAGCUUUGUGAAUUGUGCUUCAGUGGGAUAUUUUGCUGGAUUUGUCAAGCCUUGGGCACAGGAGCUCUGUUGUGUAUUCUGAUAGGGAGGGGUGGGUGGGGGUUUCAAGCAAAGGAGAAUAAAUUUGGGUUAGAUGAAAGGAGAAGGGAGGUCGCUAGAGAAGGAAAGGUGGGCAAGAGAUGUCCGGGAUUAUACCAAAGAGCAUCCCAGGUGACUCCAAAAGGGCAGGCUAGGAAUGGGCUCCAUAUGGUCAGGGAAAAUCUCCGUUUUAUCAUUAUUUUAUUUAUUUUUAAUAAAACUAGAUGCUAAAGAAAGGAAAUAUCCUGAAAGUAGAUGAACCAAAAAGAAUGUGGUCAUUGGCUGUCUGUGCCAUUCCACACAUCAAGGAGGAGGGGCUUUCAGUGAACUUAAGAGUUAGAUUUUGCUGCAUGUGGACUCUAAGCUGAUAGGAAGAAAAGCCACAAAGAAAAAAAAAAUUGAUUUAGCCUAUUCAAUCGUCACUAAUUCAAAUUAUUAGGUAAAACUACUGUAUAAUGAGGAUAAUAGAACAAUAAAUUUCCAUUUUGCAUGAAGACUAACUCACACUCUUUCAGCUGAACUUUCUGUGUUUUGAAAGUGAAAUGUGAAUUUGAGGCAAUAAAGUUUCCCAGAGACAUGAUGUACAAACUUUGUAAACUCUGGUAUGUGUUGCAGUUUGACCACAUUGCCCCAGACAGUUUGUUGAAUGCAGGAGUGAAAGGAAUCUGCCUUUAAUCUCUGUCUCCAACUUUAUUUAUCGUCUGGCAAAUAUGUAUAUCCCUGUACAUUUUUUUAUAUAAAUUUUUGUUUUUUUGUUUUUUUGUUUUUGUUUUUCUUUUUUGUUUCUUUCAUAUUCCCCAAUACAUAUGUGCAUGUGUGUGAGUGUGUGUGCAAAUGAGAGUGUAAUCAGUUCAUUCUUAACUGUCUGGAAACACACGAACAUAGCAGUGUGGCAAUGAGGCAUUUUAGUGGUGAAUCACUCUAAACAGAAUAGACAUAUUAUUGGCGGCUUGCAACCAAGAAUUGUCAGCUGCGGAUUUUAGGCCAGAGCUGUUCUAGGAGUGGAUUUGGCGGCAUCCAUAUGGAGGAGGAACGUAAACAGCGGGAGGAACUGGAGCGAAUUAUGGAAGAGAACAAAAGAAAAAUAGAGAUUGCCCAGAUGAAAUUGGCUGAGCAGCAGCUACAAAUGGUGGAGGAGCAGCGAAAGAUUGAUGAGGAGCGGCAGAAAAUCAAGAGGGAGCAGGAAAAGCGGACACGUGAGGAGCAAAAGAUCAUCCUUGGGAAGAACAAUGCGCGGCCCAAGAUCUCCUUCUCUAUCUAAAGCUAGAUACCCACAUGCAUGGGGUCUUUUAUGUUGUAGGUCCACACUCUUUCAUAUGAUUUCAAUUUGUUUUUGUUUUGUUUUUUAUUUCUAUUUUUUUAUUUUUUAUUUAUUUAUCAUUAUUUUUUUUCCUUAGUCAUUAUUACUAUCAUAUACUUUAUCUCUUUUUCGUAUUUUGUUUUUUACAGGAUAUGUUUCUGCUAUGCAUGAGUGUGAUUGACUUAACUGAUAAGGGUGUGGAGAGCCACACACUUUGUGAUUGCAUGAACCCUUGGUUUUAUUUAUUGUUGGUGUUAUUAUUAUUAUUAUUAUUAUUAUUAUUAUUAAUCAUCACUAUUACUAUCACUUACUGUUAUUAUUAUGAAGAUAAUUACUGUUAUCAUUAUCAUUUUCAUUAUUGCUUAUUUUUUUAUUAUUAUUAUUACUUUAGUAUUGAUUUAUUUGUGCUCUUUCAGUGAUGCUCAUCUCUUGUUUUUAGAAUAUGCAGUUGCACGAGUGUCUGGCUUUCCAUUAAACAUAGUAGAAAAUAAGCUAGUUAAGGGUCUUUCAGAACCUGGGUUCUUUUGAUGUCAAUGCCUACAAUGUGAGUGCUAAAUGUUACAACAAAAGUGGAAGUAGAAACUACUGCCCCAAAACCCCUACUUCUUUUGCUUUGAGUGAUUGAAGGCAAAAACUAAGCUAUAAUCUGCGAUUGUGUUAUAAUCGUAGCGGUGAAAGAUAACGGUGAGAGAAUAUAAUUCAGAGGGUAAUGAACACUACUAUAAGAAAACCCCCUGACAAUGGCUCAGGCCAGCACUCAGAGUAGCUAGGACUAAGGCUGCAUUAGGCAGUCUUGGUUCAUACUGAUGUAUUUCAGGCGCUUAUAGUAUAACUGUAUCCUAAUCAUCUGCAAAUCAUUUCAUAUGUCCUUCAUCCCAUGUUUGUAAAGUCAUGAUCUUUCACCCGAGUAAGUGUCUUGCCAUAGUGGCAGCAGACAUAAGAAAACAAUUGUAUAUAUAGCACAUGGAUCACAGAUCAUGUACAAAGUUGUACUUCUUUGGUUGGAGUAGAACUUCAGCUACUUUUCACCUGCACUGGUGAAGACUUCCUCAUCAGUCUUUAGAGAAUGGAAAUAAAUACCAUUUGUAUUGGA